CGGAACAAGCAAGUUGAGAACGGGAUGCCAGGUUGUAGAGAUGCACCCUCGAUCUGCAGAUGUGGUAGUACGAUCACGGGCCACGGUAGUCUAGGGACCAGAGUACGUGCCGAAGUCUGGAGCUGCUGGGCUUCUGGCUAUAGCCAGUGAGAUAUUUACUGAUAAGAACCUAUUCCGCCGUCUCAUUUCAUCAUCUGCAGAAGAUGCAGGAGGCGAGCAGCUUCAAGGCAAACCAGAUAAGUGGUCCUCACCCUUCAUCAAAGAAAUCUUCAUUUGCAACAGAAGGAGACUAUUACAGAAAACUGCAACCAAUCAAAAUGAAGAGGUGGUCCCAGUUCCGAUGACUACAUCGGCACACCCAAGGCUCAUGGAAUAUUGCAGAAGAGGGGCCAGAAAGGAUUGUAAGAGUUAGAGUAUGAGGGGGUUUGCUGUGAGAUCAUGUCACCUAGCAAUGUCAGAAACUACACCCAAAAGUCUUACCAACAUGACUGCCUAAACAUGGGUUGAACAAAGGCAACACCAAUAGGCAUAAAAGUGUUGACGGGGAAAGUCCAGGAAGCUUCAAUCUUACAUAAAGAUCUAU
RNAcentral lists this long non-coding RNA (583 nucleotides) under Rattus norvegicus (Norway rat). Its description in RNAcentral is "long non-coding RNA NONRATT027976". Lineage: Eukaryota; Metazoa; Chordata; Mammalia; Rodentia; Muridae. The record is from RNAcentral.